CGAGCUUAUGUUAGCCUCGCAGAAUUAAUUUAUGCCGAAAGUUUAUACUAACCUUCCGGAGUUAAUGCGUCUGUGAGUUUAUGUUAACCUCUCAGACUCAAUUAUUAGGUCUGUCUGCCCUCUUUAGAACAUACUUCCAAAACUUUUUUCCUAAAGUGCAUUCCUCAACACAUUUCAUUUAUCCAUUUAAUCACUCCUUUCUCCCCCCCUCCACACUCCCAUGUAUCCCAUGAUUUAUGGUAAACGUGUGCAAGGAGUAAUAUUGGCAAAUAAGUGGACUUGUUUACAACAACACAAAGGCUACAAGACUCUCAUUCAUCCGUCAUGGGACAACAGCGGCGCGUCAAUGAGGGUUUCCGGAAAAAAAUGCCUCAGUGGCUUAAAGCGUUGGCUUAGCCUCUACAUUCAAAGUCAAAACUGUUUUUCUUAUUCCGGCUAGAAAGACCUGCCGAGCUCACAAAGGUUCCUACCCUAUAUAGGCUGACCCGCCCAUCAAUCAGAUGCUGCCAUACAUCAUAAAUCGCCUCUUACAGGCAGUGUGUCUAUGUGUACAUCUAAAUAUUAAUGAUCUAUGUGUACAUCUAAAUAUU
Gasterosteus aculeatus aculeatus (three-spined stickleback) is the source of this 590-nucleotide long non-coding RNA. NCBI's taxonomy places the organism in Eukaryota, Metazoa, Chordata, Actinopteri, Perciformes, Gasterosteidae. The record is from Ensembl.